CGUUUAUAUGUUAUUUUGAUAUUAGUUAGGUAUUUUCUAGAUAAUAAUUAUAUGUUUGUGAUGUUUUGAAAUGCUUCUUUGCACUCUUUAAGUUAUUUAUCCGAUGGAGACUUUUAUUUUGAAAGACGGCUUGCAGGAAAAAAGGCGCUGCGCCCGCUGAAACACGGAAACAGAGACCGCGGAGAUCGCGGAGAAGGAGAGCACGCGACAGAAACGGAGACGGAACAAAGUUAACAUAAAUAAUUAAGGACACUUUAAAAAAAAAAGGAAAUUAGCAUCGUUUUGUUUUAUUUUAACUUUGAUAUUUUAACACCUGGUUGAAAGGGAGAACAAGCUCUUACGGUGUUGUGACAAUAAAAACACAAAAGGAAGGCAACACAA
This is a long non-coding RNA of Puntigrus tetrazona (Sumatra barb), 381 nucleotides long. RefSeq lists it as uncharacterized. Lineage: Eukaryota; Metazoa; Chordata; Actinopteri; Cypriniformes; Cyprinidae. The transcript is spliced from 2 exons. The record is from RefSeq and is a predicted model, not a curated record.